UACGUAGGGGGCUAGCGUUGUCCGGAAUCAUUGGGCGUAAAGGGCGUGUAGGCGGUCCGGUAAGUCCGCUGUGAAAGUCGGGGGCUCAACCCUGGAAUGGCGGUGGAUACUGUCGGGCUAGAGUGCGGAAGAGGCGAGUGGAAUUCCUGGUGUAGCGGUGAAAUGCGCAGAUAUCAGGAGGAACACCGGUGGCGAAGGCGGCAUCCUGGACCGGCACUGACGCUGAGGAGCGAAAGCCAGGGGAGCAAACGGG
RNAcentral lists this ribosomal RNA (253 nucleotides) under uncultured bacterium. RNAcentral describes it as "partial 16S ribosomal RNA". It matches the Rfam family "Bacterial small subunit ribosomal RNA", at positions 524 to 776 of the family's 1533-position model. The record is from RNAcentral.